AUACAGUGACCUCGGGCGGCGGGUCACGUCGGCCGGGCAUGGCUGCAUGGAGCCCGGCCGCGGCAGCGCCUCUCCUCCGCGGGAUCCGCGGGGUGAGCGUGGGCAGGGUCGGGGCUGCUCUCCCCGGGACGGGAGCUGCGGAGGGACCGCGGGGCCGGCGGCUGUCGGGGCUUGAGGACUGGCUCCCGGAGGGCGCGCGCGGCACUGGCAAUGGGGGGCUCCUCUUCCUUUCUCUCAUUCAUUCUUUCAUUCAUUCAUUCACUCAGCGACAACGGCAUUCGAAAUUUCAAGCUCUGGCGCGCUCUAGGGGAGCUCCCGAGCUGGGUGGAGGUUGGAGGUCAGGCGGACAGACACAUGAACAGUCAUAAUACUGCGGGCACAGGAAAAAAAAAGGAUUGAUUUACCGAGCAGAAGACAGGAGUCAUAGCUCAGAGUCAAGGCGUGGGUGCGAGGGACUGCAGCGGGGCCGGGGCCUUGGGAAGGUCGACUGGGCCUCUGACCUUGAUCCUCCUCCAAAUCCCACACUACCGGAGCAGAACCCAAGCAGGGGGCACUUCCCACGCGCUCUCCUAAUCUCUCCCCCUUUCUGAACCAUCCUUUGCUUCAGUUCAUACCAUUCUUUCUCUUAACUUUCAUUUUCCUUCUCCCCUGGUUCUGAACCUGCCUGCCCUGUGCAUGAAGAGAAGUUCUUCCACUGCGGUGACUUUCAGCGUGGACAGUGAUCAUCUGGGGAUGUCAGUUGAUUGUUCCACUAAAGGCCGCUGCCCACAGAUCCGCUAAGAUGAAAGGCUUCUCCCAAGGAUUCUGCAACCCUCACCUCUCUCACCCCUUAGUAGCUGCCGAUUCUGUCUGCCAUCUGGUUACUCUCUGCCUUUACCCUCAAGGUUCUGCCCCCAGAAGCAGCUCCACCCCACCCUCACUCCUGGCAAUCCUGUCCAGCCUCUCAACAUCGAGUUUCUGUCCCUCCACACAGCAGGCAGAUAAUCACACUCUGGACCUUUCUCCUGUCCUGCAUUUCUGUCCCUAAUUGACUAGUUCUUCCCCUGCUCAUUCAUUCAUCCAGCACCAAGUGCCUCUGAGGGCCUGCCCUGGGGUCAGCUCUGGGAUGCUGCCGGACUCAUUCCUGGCCUAUAAGACCAGUGGUGAGAGAGCCAGUGCACAGCUCAUUUUAAAGGAGGUGCUCUGAGAUUCUGUGACACAGGACCCUGCUCUGAGCUAUCAGGAAGGACUGAGGGGUACAGGGGUGGGACCUUCAGCACCAGCACCCAUGAACGGCCCUAGCGUCCUCCAACCUGUCAUCCACGUCUAGUCAGGGACCAGUGCCCGGUGCUUCCAUCAUUGUAAUGCCUCUUACUUGGGCAUCUCUCCUGACUCGCUCCAGAAGGCACUGUUUCCUGCAGGUUACUUUGGUCCCAUGAGCCUGGGUUCCAUCACCUGGAGUCCCAUCUCCUGUCCGAUACAGUCCACAAUCUUUAGCCUGGCAUUCAAGGCCUGCCACACUCCAUUCCCAGUCUGCCUUUUCAGCAUGCACUCAGCCCAGCCAAGUGACUGCCGACCUGCUUUUCUGCUCCUUCACUACUAACUGUUGAGACGUGUUCCAUCAGAAACAUGGGCUCCCCUGGCCGGGCGUGGUGGCUCGUGCCUGUAAUCCUAGAAUUUUGGGAGGUUGAGGUGGGUGGAUCACCUGAGGUCAGGGGUUUGAGACCAGCCUGGCCAACAUGGUGAAACCUCGUCUCUACUAAAAAUACAAAAAUUUGCCGAGCGUGGUGGUGGGUGCCUGGAAUCCCAGCUACUCAGGAGGCUGGGGCAGGAGAAUCGCUUGAACCCGGGAGGUGGAAGUUGCAGUGAGCUGAGAUUGUGCCACUGCACUCCAGCCUGGGUAACAGAGCAAAACUCUUGUCUCAAAAAAAAAAAAAAAGGAGACACAAACACAGGUUCCCCCAUGGUAGCCAUUGGGGAAGGGGUGUUGUUGCCAAUGGUAAACAACCUACAGAUAUUCCUUCUUCAGUUUCUUUCAUAGAAUUCUGACUUUGCUCCCAGUGAGAAGGAGUGCAUGAUGAAGGAUAGCUGGCUAAUUGAGCAGUGGGCUGUGAGGUCACAUCCCACUGGGGAGGGCGAGACAUGUUAAUCAGGCCUAAAGGCGAGGGAGUGUGGAAUUUGGCCCCACCAUCCAGGGCAGUGGAUGGCCUAGUGGUAUGGAUCUGAGGCAGGCUGUCCAGCUUUUCUGUAUCUUACCGAAUUCAACCUUGGGCACAUUACUGUGUGCCUCAGUUUCCUUACCUAUCAAACUAUCGGCAUAAUAGUGUCACAACAUUAUAUGGAAGCAAACAUCUCUUGAAUUAGGUUUGGGGCCUCUUGUCUCUGGAGUCAAAUUGAGUUAUCAACAAUCAUCCUGUCCCUGCCAAUAAAAGUUUAUUCUGUGUUUUGGGACUUACAUGGACUCCUGAUACCACAGAGCCCCUCUGACAUAACCCAUGGCUGUGCUGGCGAGGGCUCAGGGGCCUGCCUUGCAGGGGGAAUGGCAGGCGGGCCUGCACAGUGGCCCAGCUCAGGGGCAACAGCAUCUUCCUCUGCCCUGACCUUCCUCUCUGUUCUGUGGCAGCUUCCACUUCACCAUCGGAUGUUUGCCACUCAGACUGAGGGGGAGCUCAGAGUGACCCAAAUUCUCAAAGAAAAGUUUCCACGAGCUACAGCUAUAAAAGUCACUGACAUUUCAGGCACUAAAAGAAGAAAUCAAAGAGAUGCAUGGAUUGCGGAUAUUUACCUCUGUCCCCAAACGCUGACCACGCCCUGGCUGCAUAGAUGCUGCUGCUUAAGACCUUGGAUGAACUUCACUGACAUCAUUCUUCCCUAAGCAGUCACCAAAAAAUUUAUAUAUUUUGCUCAUAUACAUUUCCAUAUUAUAAUUAUAGAAGAUGUAUAAUCUAUUUAGAUGUUAAUUAAAGGAAACAAACAACUGAAGCUUUUGAAGGGUC
Molecule: small RNA, 2975 nt
Filed under: Pan troglodytes (chimpanzee)
Lineage: Eukaryota; Metazoa; Chordata; Mammalia; Primates; Hominidae
Description: retained intron
Source: RNAcentral